CUUGUUGAAUUUAAGCAACAACAAUGAAGAAUGAAAAAAAAUACCAAUUGUGCUUAUUUUCAUUUUAUCCACUUUCAUUGAGUUAGGGAGAGAAAUAAAGUUGAUAAUUGCUUGUCUUUAACACUCACCAUCCAAAUGCUAGCUUUCAUCCCUUGAAGUGGAUUGGAAGUUACCCUACAAGAAGAUCAAGGGAUGUUCUCCUUUAGUACCCACACAAACUUAGGUCCAUAAUAGUUAGUCUUCAAAAGGUCCUCUAAUUUGAGGUGUGCCUUUCUAAUAUAAAAAAGCACAUUUAUAUGCCCCAAUUUAAUACAAUAAUGACGUUGAACAUUGGAUUUAAGGUUCCUUUUGUUAAAUGGUCUUCUUGCUUAAAAUUUAAGUCUCACCACAUUCCUAUCUCUAUCAAGCAUACAAGAAUAUGUUUUAUGUGAUUAUGUAUGCUUGUUGGCACUCUUUUUAUACAUGAAAGCAUGAUUAGUCCUUUGAGGCUUACCUAUUAGACCUUGUGAUGCCUUCCCUUUUCCCUUAGGGAGAGGAGGCCUAGUGUGUUCUAAACCUCCUUUAGUACUACC
This 572-nucleotide long non-coding RNA is filed under the name Ricinus communis (castor bean). RNAcentral describes it as "long non-coding RNA (RCOM_LNC001038)". Lineage: Eukaryota; Viridiplantae; Streptophyta; Magnoliopsida; Malpighiales; Euphorbiaceae. The record is from RNAcentral.